Molecule: non-coding RNA, 113 nt
Organism: Bacillus sp. FJAT-22058
Lineage: Bacteria; Bacillati; Bacillota; Bacilli; Caryophanales; Bacillaceae
Source: Rfam
GCGAUGAGCUAAUUUGUGUAAGUCGAAGAACAAGCUUUUAGCUAAACGUCGGGAUGUGGCCUGACGGUUCUGCGCCACAAACGCAUCAAAGACGCCUGCUGCGUGCAGGCGUC